AAUACAUGCAAGUCGAGCGGACAGAAGGGAGCUUGCUCCCGGACGUUAGCGGCGGACGGGUGAGUAACACGUAGGUAACCUGCCCCUUAGACUGGGAUAACUCCGGGAAACCGGAGCUAAUACGGGAUAAUAAAGAGAAUCACCUGAUUCUCUUUUGAAAGACGGUUUCGGCUGUCACUAAGGGAUGGGCCUGCGGCGCAUUAGCUAGUUGGUAAGGUAACGGCUUACCAAGGCGACGAUGCGUAGCCGACCUGAGAGGGUGAUCGGCCACACUGGGACUGAGACACGGCCCAGACUCCUACGGGAGGCAGCAGUAGGGAAUCUUCCGCAAUGGACGAAAGUCUGACGGAGCAACGCCGCGUGAGUGAGGAAGGCCUUCGGGUCGUAAAGCUCUGUUGUGAGGGAAGAACAAGUACCGGGGUAACUACCGGUACCUUGACGGUACCUCACCAGAAAGCCACGGCUAACUACGUGCCAGCAGCCGCGGUAAUACGUAGGUGGCAAGCGUUGUCCGGAAUUAUUGGGCGUAAAGCGCGCGCAGGCGGCUUCUUAAGUCUGAUGUGAAAUCUCGGGGCUCAACCCCGAGCGGCCAUUGGAAACUGGGAAGCUUGAGUGCAGAAGAGGAGAGUGGAAUUCCACGUGUAGCGGUGAAAUGCGUAGAUAUGUGGAGGAACACCAGUGGCGAAGGCGACUCUCUGGNCUGUAACUGACGCUGAGGCGCGAAA
Molecule: ribosomal RNA, 725 nt
Filed under: uncultured Bacillaceae bacterium
Lineage: Bacteria; Bacillati; Bacillota; Bacilli; Caryophanales; Bacillaceae
Description: bacterial SSU rRNA
Rfam family: Bacterial small subunit ribosomal RNA
Source: RNAcentral